GAUGAAGAACGUAGCGAAAUGCGAUACUUGGUGUGAAUUGCAGAAUCCCGUGAACCAUCGAGUCUUUGAACGCAAGUUGCGCCCGAAGCCAUUAGGCCGAGGGCACGCCUGCCUGGGCGUCACACGUCGUUGCCCCCCCAUCUACUCCUUCGGGAUUGCGGGGGGCGGAUGAUGGCCUCCCGUGCGCCUCGCCGCGCGGUUGGCAUAAAUGCCAAGUCCUCGGCGACGCACGCCACGACAAUCGGUGGUUGCGAAACCUCGGUUGCCGUCGUGUGCGGUCGUCGCGCAUCGAGGGCUCGAAAAAAUUGCCGGGUUCCGGCUCGGCUUUCAACGCGACCCCAGGUCAGGCGGGGUUACCCGCUGAAUUUAAGCAUAUCAAUAAGCGGAGGA
Molecule: unclassified non-coding RNA, 390 nt
Filed under: soil metagenome
Description: partial contains 5.8S ribosomal RNA, internal transcribed spacer 2, and large subunit ribosomal RNA
Rfam family: 5.8S ribosomal RNA (bases 1-122)
Source: RNAcentral